CCCUUAGAUGUCCUGGGCCGCGCGCGCGCUACACUGACAUGUUCAACAAGCCUCCUAGUUCGACAGGGUUUGGGAAAUCUUUGAACGCAUGUCGUGAUAGGGAUAGAUCAUUGCAAUUAUUGAUCUUGAACGAGGAAUUCCUAGUAAACGCGAGUCAUCAGCUCGCAUUGAUUACGUCCCUGCCCUUUGUACACACCGCCCGUCGCACCUACCGAUUGAAUGUUUCGGUGAAGAUUCCGGAUAGGACUUUUUUGAUUUAUUUCAAUUUUGUCUUAAAAGCUAUCUAAACCUCAACAUUUAGAGGAAGGUGAAGUCGUAACA
Molecule: ribosomal RNA, 321 nt
Filed under: uncultured eukaryote
Lineage: Eukaryota
Description: partial 18S ribosomal RNA
Rfam family: Eukaryotic small subunit ribosomal RNA
Source: RNAcentral